AGAGUUGAUCAUGGCUCAGGAUGAACGCUGGCGGCGUGCUUAACACAUGCAAGUCGAACGGGGUUUUAACGGAAGUCCUCGGAUGGAGGUUAGAACUAGUGGCGGACGGGUGAGUAACGCGUGGGUAACCUGCCUCAUACAGGGGGAUAACAGUCGGAAACGAUUGCUAAAACCGCAUAACAUAGCGAAACCGCAUGAUUUUGCUAUCAAAUAUUUAUAGGUAUGAGAUGGGCCCGCGUCUGAUUAGCUAGUUGGUGGGGUAAUGGCCUACCAAGGCGACGAUCAGUAGCCGGCUUGAGAGAGUGACCGGCCACAUUGGGACUGAGACACGGCCCAAACUCCUACGGGAGGCAGCAGUGGGGAAUACUGGACAAUGGGGGAAACCCUGAUCCAGCGAACCGCCGCGUGAGUGAAGAAGUAUUUCGGUAUGUAAAGCUCUAUCAGCAGGGAAGAUAAUGACAGUACCUGACUAAGAAGCCCCGGCUAACUACGUGCCAGCCGCUGC
This 505-nucleotide ribosomal RNA is filed under the name uncultured bacterium. Its description in RNAcentral is "bacterial SSU rRNA". It matches the Rfam family "Bacterial small subunit ribosomal RNA", at positions 8 to 518 of the family's 1533-position model. The record is from RNAcentral.